CCAAACAGACGUUUAUUUGCUGGUAACUGCCAUUUCAACAAUACCACCGGAAUAUUCAUAAUUUAAAUGUUUUUAUUACACCACAACUUUGGAAAACAUCUCUAAGCAAGGCAUAUAAGCCAAGGUUACAUAGUACGUCAGGAAAGGGAGCUCAACCUCACAAGACAGACCGUCAUGUAGAGACAACUGCUACACAACAUGGGAAGAACUGCCAUAGAGAUGUAAAGACCCAAAAUGAAGAAGCCAGAACACAUGAACACGAAACCAGCCAACCAACAAACACAGCAUCAUGGAGCGUAGAGUCUGGGGACCGACUGCCGGGUGCUGAGGAAUGCGGGUGGAGGCAGAGUGGCAAUCACCUGAGUUUCGAUCAGGCAGAGCUGAGCUUGAAUUUUAAUUCACAAGUUAAGCUGCAGAACCUAAGACGAUGGAGGAAAAGUUUUCCUUUCUUACAAGAUCACGCAGCAUUUGCUUCACUUACUGAGGAGCCCUGAGCCACCCUGUAUAAAAUCUGAACACCCGAAGACCCCCAUACUGUGAGGAAGCCCGACCACAUGGAGAGGCCACAUGAAGGUUCUCAACUCAGAACCCCAGCUGAGGUCCCAGCCUACAACCAGCAUCAACCACCA
Molecule: long non-coding RNA, 629 nt
Organism: Symphalangus syndactylus (siamang)
Lineage: Eukaryota; Metazoa; Chordata; Mammalia; Primates; Hylobatidae
Source: RefSeq, a predicted model, not a curated record